RNAcentral lists this ribosomal RNA (1441 nucleotides) under uncultured organism. Its description in RNAcentral is "SSU rRNA". It matches the Rfam family "Bacterial small subunit ribosomal RNA". The record is from RNAcentral.
AUCUACAGGCUUAACACAUGCAAGUCGAGGGGCAGCAUGGUCUUAGCUUGCUAAGACUGAUGGCGACCGGCGCACGGGUGAGUAACACGUAUCCAACCUGCCGUCUACUCUUGGACAGCCUUCUGAAAGGAAGAUUAAUACAAGAUGGCAUCAUGAGUCCGCAUGUUCACAUGAUUAAAGGUAUUCCGGUAGACGAUGGGGAUGCGUUCCAUUAGAUAGUAGGCGGGGUAACGGCCCACCUAGUCUUCGAUGGAUAGGGGUUCUGAGAGGAAGGUCCCCCACAUUGGAACUGAGACACGGUCCAAACUCCUACGGGAGGCAGCAGUGAGGAAUAUUGGUCAAUGGGCGAGAGCCUGAACCAGCCAAGUAGCGUGAAGGAUGACUGCCCUAUGGGUUGUAAACUUCUUUUAUAAAGGAAUAAAGUCGGGUAUGGAUACCCGUUUGCAUGUACUUUAUGAAUAAGGAUCGGCUAACUCCGUGCCAGCAGCCGCGGUAAUACGGAGGAUCCGAGCGUUAUCCGGAUUUAUUGGGUUUAAAGGGAGCGUAGAUGGAUGUUUAAGUCAGUUGUGAAAGUUUGCGGCUCAACCGUAAAAUUGCAGUUGAUACUGGAUAUCUUGAGUGCAGUUGAGGCAGGCGGAAUUCGUGGUGUAGCGGUGAAAUGCUUAGAUAUCACGAAGAACUCCGAUUGCGAAGGCAGCCUGCUAAGCUGCAACUGACAUUGAGGCUCGAAAGUGUGGGUAUCAAACAGGAUUAGAUACCCUGGUAGUCCACACGGUAAACGAUGAAUACUCGCUGUUUGCGAUAUACUGCAAGCGGCCAAGCGAAAGCGUUAAGUAUUCCACCUGGGGAGUACGCCGGCAACGGUGAAACUCAAAGGAAUUGACGGGGGCCCGCACAAGCGGAGGAACAUGUGGUUUAAUUCGAUGAUACGCGAGGAACCUUACCCGGGCUUAAAUUGCAGAUGAAUUACGGUGAAAGCCGUAAGCCGCAAGGCAUCUGUGAAGGUGCUGCAUGGUUGUCGUCAGCUCGUGCCGUGAGGUGUCGGCUUAAGUGCCAUAACGAGCGCAACCCUUGUUGUCAGUUACUAACAGGUUCCGCUGAGGACUCUGACAAGACUGCCAUCGUAAGAUGUGAGGAAGGUGGGGAUGACGUCAAAUCAGCACGGCCCUUACGUCCGGGGCUACACACGUGUUACAAUGGGGGGUACAGAGGGCCGCUACCACGCGAGUGGAUGCCAAUCCCAAAAACCUCUCUCAGUUCGGACUGGAGUCUGCAACCCGACUCCACGAAGCUGGAUUCGCUAGUAAUCGCGCAUCAGCCACGGCGCGGUGAAUACGUUCCCGGGCCUUGUACACACCGCCCGUCAAGCCAUGGGAGCCGGGGGUACCUGAAGUGCGUAACCGCGAGGAGCGCCCUAGGGUAAAACUGGUGACUGGGGCUA